Molecule: transfer RNA, 27 nt
Filed under: Panthera tigris altaica (Amur tiger)
Lineage: Eukaryota; Metazoa; Chordata; Mammalia; Carnivora; Felidae
Description: partial tRNA-Pro
Source: RNAcentral
AUGGUGGGGCUAUUGCUUCUUCCUUGA